This 690-nucleotide long non-coding RNA is filed under the name Malus domestica (apple). Its description in RNAcentral is "long non-coding RNA (MDOM_LNC008406)". The record is from RNAcentral. Lineage: Eukaryota; Viridiplantae; Streptophyta; Magnoliopsida; Rosales; Rosaceae.
CAAGCUAGUGGGAGCUAUAAGCAUCUUAUGAGAAAAUGAUCAAAUCGUUUGAUUUCUCAUAAAGAUGUAAAUGAAUCUUUUGUUUACUAGGUUUACAAAAGAUUAGUGGGAGUUAAUAAUGUUCCUAAAAUUUAAAUAUAUAUAUGAUAUAUUAAUUUUGGAAAUGAAAAGAAUACUUCUUCGUUAAAGUUAUGACUUUAAAACAUUAUAUGAAGAUAGAAUGUAUAUGGGAGACAUAGUAUAUAUACAUGGGAUGGAAAUCUAUAUUGAUAGAUUUUAGGAUAUAAUUGGAUUAUAUCAAGCCCUAAAUAUAGACAAAAGAUGAUAGGAAGUUUCUCAUAUGAUGAUGAACUUCAAUCAAAUGGACAACUCUAGUAAGACUAAGGAGUUGCUCUUCUCAAAGAGAACGUACUCUUUGACUCCCAAAGAAAUAAUGCGUAAAUAGAAUCCUUUAUGCAUACGCAGAAAGGUGAUUUAUGUAUUUCAUAUUGUAUGAAAAACAUUGAUAUGAGUUGUACCUAGAAAGGUGCAAGACGAUAUCAGUGCAAGCCCAGGAUCAGAACCAUGGCAACUGUCAAGUGAGUACUUAAGUAUUUAAGAAAUACUAAAGGAUAAAUUCCUCAAAGAUCGAGGAAGAAUUAGAGUAACGUAAAGGAAGCGUAAAUGUAUUAGAUUAUGAAUCUAAUCCAU